UGAGACACGGCCCAGACUCCUACGGGAGGCAGCAGUGGGGAAUAUUGGACAAUGGGCGCAAGCCUGAUCCAGCAAUGCCGCGUGGGUGAAGAAGGUCUUCGGAUCGUAAAGCCCUUUCGACAGGGACGAUGAUGACGGUACCUGUUGAAGAAGCCCCGGCUAACUUCGUGCCAGCAGCCGCGGUAAUACGAAGGGGGCUAGCGUUACUCGGAAUUACUGGGCGUAAAGGGCGCGUAGGCGGCUUGGUCAGUCAGGCGUGAAAUUCCUGGGCUUAACCUGGGGACUGCGCUUGAUACGGCCAGGCUUGAGGCCGAGAGAGGGUGGUGGAAUUCCCAGUGUAGAGGUGAAAUUCGUAGAUAUUGGGAAGAACACCGGUGGCGAAGGCGACCACCUGGCUCGGUACUGACGCUGAGGCGCGACAGCGUGGGGAGCAAACAGGAUUAGAUACCCUGGUAGUCCACGCCGUAAACGAUGUGUGCUGGAUGUUGGGGUCCCUAGGAUCUCAGUGUCGUAGCCAACGCGGUAAGCACACCGCCUGGGGAGUACGGACGCAAGAUUAAAACUCAAAGGAAUUGACGGGGGCUCACACAAGCGGUGGAGGAUGUGGUUUAAUUCGAAGCAACGCGAAGAACCUUACCAGGUCUUGACAUACCGGGAUUAGCUGGGUGAAAGCUUAGUGAUUCUCGCAAGAGGUAACCGGAACAGGUGCUGCAUGGCUGUCGUCAGCUCGUGCCGUGAGGUGUUAGGUUAAGUCCUGUAACGAGCGCAACCCUUACCAUUAGUUACAUGUGUCUAGUGGAACUGCCCGGCAUAACUGGGAGGAAGGUGGGGAUGACGUCAAGUCAGCAUGGCCCUUUUGUCCUGGGCUACACACACGCUACAAUGGCCGGUACAAUGGGUCGCCAAGCCGUGAGGCGGAGCCAAUCCUUAAAGCCGGUCUCAGUUCGGAUUGCAGGCUGCAACCCGCCUGCAUGAAGGUGGAGUUGCUAGUAACCGCAGGUCAGCCACACUGCGGUGAAUGCGUUCCCGGAGAUUGUACACACCGCCCGUCACGUCAUGGGAGCUGGUAACACCUGAAGCCGGUGGGCUAACCGCAAGGAGGCAACCGUUGAAGGUGGGACUGGUGACUGGGACGAAGUCGUAACAAGGUAGCUGUACCGGAAGGUGCGGCUGGAUCACCUCCUUUCUAG
RNAcentral lists this ribosomal RNA (1190 nucleotides) under Rubrivivax sp. Its description in RNAcentral is "bacterial SSU rRNA". It matches the Rfam family "Bacterial small subunit ribosomal RNA", at positions 320 to 1533 of the family's 1533-position model. Lineage: Bacteria; Pseudomonadati; Pseudomonadota; Betaproteobacteria; Burkholderiales; Sphaerotilaceae. The record is from RNAcentral.